UUUCAAAGUGGAAAGAUGUUCUUAAAGAGAUUGAUUUAAAUCAUUAGUAACCAUCAGACUCCUCUGUAUGACAUCAAUGUAAUUUAACUUAAUCUCCCUUACCAAUUUAAAAGUUUUCAGAAUGUAUUCCAAGGUAAUAUUUCACUUCAAACUCAUUAUACAUGCACUAAUAUAUAUAUAUAUAUUCUCUAUGUGUCAUUUUAAAUAUCUUUGGUAAUUAAAAUAGAAUAGCCAUGUUGAAAUUAAAAGUUUAGACAAACUAUCACCGACUUUAAUAUAUUAGUGACUAAGAAAAAGUAGCUGAAAGCUUUCGAUAUGAAUGAACCUGACAAAAACAUGUCAAAGCAUGUUUAAGAAAUUUGUCUGUGUUACCUAACCUUUCUAUUUUGUGCAGUGAACCCAUGAGAAAAGAGUAUUUUUCAAUAAAGUAGUGUGCCUAGUGUUUUUAAAUGAAAAACAAUAACUUAAAACCUCUCACUUUGGUAAAAGCAGAACAUCAGUCCAAAAUUACACAGAUGCUGAAAUGAAAGACAAGUGAAAUGGGUAAGUUAAUCCCAUCAGUAUUAAAAGCAUUGGGAGAAAAAAUGUCAUCAGAAAAAGAGGUUAUGAAUAAAAAUAGAAGGUAUAUUUCAAAAUAUAAUUACAAUCUGUAAUUCUAUAAAAAUUGCUAGAAUUCAAACAUCUUUUUAAUAUAUUUCUGGUGAAAUCAAAGUCAAAAUAUAAUACUUGGGAUUUCUUCUUCUCCAAAGAUGAAAUUAAACUAAUCAAGUAAUUUGGUCUCUAAAAUACUCUGCAAAUUCCAAUUCACAAGAAAUAUA
Pipistrellus kuhlii (Kuhl's pipistrelle) is the source of this 818-nucleotide long non-coding RNA. RefSeq lists it as uncharacterized. The record is from RefSeq and is a predicted model, not a curated record. The transcript is spliced from 2 exons. Lineage: Eukaryota; Metazoa; Chordata; Mammalia; Chiroptera; Vespertilionidae.